AUGCGCCGUUGUUGUGGCUGUCGACCUAAAGCGCAUGUGCGGUGCGAGCCCGCGGAAAUUUAAACCGAUUUCAGAGAGAAAAUUGGGAGAAAAUAAUAUAGAAAACUAUCUCUGCGGCCGGGCUAGAAACUGUAGUCGGGUCGGCGCUCGCUGCAGGAACAAGAGGAAACGGGUCCAGAAGAGCCAUAACCUGUGAAUGUGAAUCAUGCCACAGGAGGAAGAAGGCAAUGUGACUGUAGUUGUCCGGAUCAGACCUCAGAAUCAUCGAGAAUUGGAAACCGAAAGCCAUGCUGUUACACAAAUGGUGGAUGAAAAUGUCCUGGUCUUUGAUCCAAAGGAAGAAAUUAAUGACAUGUUUUCAGGAGCUAAGUUCAGAGAUAGGGGCAUAACAUGUCGGAAAAGGAAAGACCUGAAAUUCGUGUUUGACAGAGUUUUUAAUGAAAACUCUACCCAACAAGAAGUGUUUGAGUUCACAACUAAACAAAUUUUGGAAGGAGUUUUGAAUGGAUACAAUUGCUCGGUCUUUGCCUAUGGUGCAACAGGAU
Long non-coding RNA from Leucoraja erinaceus (little skate), 545 nucleotides. RefSeq lists it as uncharacterized. The record is from RefSeq and is a predicted model, not a curated record. NCBI's taxonomy places the organism in Eukaryota, Metazoa, Chordata, Chondrichthyes, Rajiformes, Rajidae. The transcript has 3 exons.